Molecule: long non-coding RNA, 396 nt
Filed under: Ananas comosus (pineapple)
Lineage: Eukaryota; Viridiplantae; Streptophyta; Magnoliopsida; Poales; Bromeliaceae
Description: long non-coding RNA (ACOM_LNC003186)
Source: RNAcentral
CCAAACGAGCAUCCCACUAACUAUCAACAAGCGGUUGCUCCCAUUACCCUAUUCUGACCCUUUACGCUCUCUACACCGCCUUACAGCUCCCAUUUACCCUAUCAACCGCCUUGCUCUUUGUAACAACAAUCGUCUGCUUCGAAUCCCAUCGGCCAAUACACUCUCAAUCUACUUUGUCUGCAAUGGCGUCGAAGUCGUCGCAGUCUACUGAUUCAUUGUCUGACGUCGGGGGGAAGGCGCCGUCACGGCCGGUUGCCGGCGGCCCUGCCCGUAGAUUCAUUGUGAAUUCGCGGUGUUUCGUCGGAGCGUACAGGAAGACUUACACGUCGGUCGUGAAGCCCUAUCAUUUUCUCGUCAUCCAGAUUAUGAUAUUCGGUAAUAUCUUACACUUCUCUG